This 261-nucleotide ribosomal RNA is filed under the name uncultured archaeon. Its description in RNAcentral is "partial 16S ribosomal RNA". It matches the Rfam family "Archaeal small subunit ribosomal RNA", at positions 738 to 998 of the family's 1478-position model. The record is from RNAcentral.
CCCGUAGUCCUAGCCGUAAACGAUACUCGCUAGGUGUCGGCCACGGUGCGACCGUUGUCGGUGCCGUAGGGAAGCCGUGAAGCGAGCCACCUGGGAAGUACGGCCGCAAGGCUGAAGCUUAAAGGAAUUGGCGGGGGAGCACCACAACGGGUGGAGCUUGCGGUUUAAUUGGAUUCAACGCCGGAAAUCUUACCGGGACCGACAGCAAUAUGAAGGCCAGGCUGAAGACUUUGCCGGAUUAGCUGAGAGGAGGUGCAUGGC